This is a long non-coding RNA of Tyto alba (common barn owl), 1221 nucleotides long. RefSeq lists it as uncharacterized. Lineage: Eukaryota; Metazoa; Chordata; Aves; Strigiformes; Tytonidae. The record is from RefSeq and is a predicted model, not a curated record. The transcript is spliced from 2 exons.
AGGGGAGCGCUGCCGGAGGAGGAGGAGGAGGAGGAGGAGGAGGAAGAGGAAGAGGAUGAAGGCGGCGCCGGUCGGAGCGCUGCGGUGCGGUGCGGUGCGCAGCGGCGGCGAGCGGCUCGUCGUCAUCGCCAUCAUCGCCCUUCUCGUCCCUCUGCGGGCCGGGGCUGAGGCAGACUGAGCGCCAGAGAGAGGGCCCGUCGGCUGAGGUGGAGCACCUGGUUCUGCUCUGGAAGGUGAAACCGGGAGCUUUCUUGCUUAAGAGUGACACUGUCCUACAUGUGGAGAGUCUUUACUAACAAUAAUGGCAUCUUCCUCAGAAAUUGCUUUGGUAAUUGCUCCAAUACUUCUUUAUGCAAGUUGCUCUUUUGGUACUCACCAAAUCCCUCCAACAUCCAUUCAGAGCUGUUAAUGCUUACAUGACGUGCUGCUAUCAAGGCAAGCAAGUGGACAGGGAAGCGGUUGCAAAACCAACUUGCUCCUCUGGCUCCUUCCUUUCUGCAGAAGAGCUUGUCUGUAGUUUUAUUGUGAAAAGUACUCAAAACCUAAGACAAAGACACUAAACAAAUGCAACUUUACCCUCACAGAGCUGCACCUGCAGCAUGGACCGUAUCCACGCCGUCCUGAAACAAUCCAGCCUUGCUGACAGCUCAAGUGUCGCUUCGGAGCCAGAUUUAGAAAGGUCAGGCUAGCACAGGCAUUUUAAGGGAGAUGGUUUCAUCUUUUUAAGUGUUUGAAUUUGAAGUUCAAACAUUUAAUCUUUCAAAUUAAGGAAAGCUGAGAAUGUAUGAGCGUGUAGAAGGCAUGAUGCCUUUAAGAGAAUUAUUAAUUAAGAAGAGUGAAAAUUUCUUAACCUGGGGGAAGAGAAGGGAGAAGAAUUCAAUGAAAGUUAAUAUUCCUAGCUAAAGAGUGCAAAGAUCCAUUCUCCUGAAUUUUGUCUGUGAAAUGACUUUAAAGAGAGAAAAAGAAAAUAUUUAUCAGUGUUUAAACAUGAUGCUGUAGUAAAUGAGUAGUUGUCAUUUCUUGUAAAGAAAAUCCCGUCUUCAUUUUAGUAUUUCCAGUGCUGUGGUCUUGCAUGGGUGGAGGCAAGUUGCUGGAAUGGUUAAUUCUGGCCUCUGCCAUCAUAAUGUACCUUAUUUCUAAUUUUAUUUAUGUCCCAUUUCAGCUCCCGGGCAUUCAUCUUGUCAUAAGUUGAUUAUUGUAAUAAAUAGUGUUAUUACUAAA